RNAcentral lists this ribosomal RNA (495 nucleotides) under uncultured bacterium. Its description in RNAcentral is "partial 16S ribosomal RNA". It matches the Rfam family "Bacterial small subunit ribosomal RNA", at positions 30 to 523 of the family's 1533-position model. The record is from RNAcentral.
AUUGAACGCUGGCGGAUGCUUUACACAUGCAAGUCGAACGGUAGAGGGGGCAACCCCUCGAGAGUGGCGAACGGGUGAGUAAUAUAUCGGAACGUGCCCAGUCGUGGGGGAUAACGUAGCGAAAGUUACGCUAAUACCGCAUACGAUCUAAGGAUGAAAGCGGGGGAUCGCAAGACCUCGCGCGAUUGGAGCGGCCGAUAUCAGAUUAGGUAGUUGGUGGGGUAAAGGCUCACCAAGCCAACGAUCUGUAGCUGGUCUGAGAGGACGACCAGCCACACUGGAACUGAGACACGAUCCAGACUCCUACGGGAGGCAGCAGUGGGGAAUUUUGGACAAUGGACGCAAGUCUGAUCCAGCCAUUCCGCGUGCAGGAUGAAGGCCCUCGGGUUGUAAACUGCUUUUGUACGGAACGAAAAGGUCUCUCUUAAUACGGGGGGCUCAUGACGGUACCGUAAGAAUAAGCACCGGCUAACUACGUGCCAGCAGCCGCGGUAA